Molecule: small nucleolar RNA, 72 nt
Organism: Micropterus dolomieu (smallmouth bass)
Lineage: Eukaryota; Metazoa; Chordata; Actinopteri; Centrarchiformes; Centrarchidae
Product: small nucleolar RNA SNORD63
Exons: 1
Source: RefSeq, a predicted model, not a curated record
GUGCUGUGAUGAGUGAAAAUUUAACACAUCAUGCUGACAAAACACCGUGGUGAACUUUAAACGCUGAGCAUA